CCCAGACUCCUACGGGAGGCAGCAGUGAGGAAUAUUGGUCAAUGGGCGGGAGCCUGAACCAGCCAAGCCGCGUGAAGGAAGAAGGCGCCAAGCGUCGUAAACUUCUUUUGUCGGGGAGCAAAAGCCGGACGUGUCCGGCUGUGAGAGUACCCGAAGAAUAAGCAUCGGCUAACUCCGUGCCAGCAGCCGCGGUAAUACGGAGGAUGCGGGCGUUAUCCGGAUUUAUUGGGUUUAAAGGGUGCGUAGGCGGUUUUUUAAGUUAGUGGUUAAACGUCGGGGCUUCACCUUGAUUUGCCAUUAAUACUGUAAGACUCGAGUUCAGACGAGGUAGGCGGAAUAAGUUAAGUAGCGGUGAAAUGCUUAGAUAUAACUUAGAACUCCGAUAGCGAAGGCAGCUUACCAGACUGCGACUGGCGCUGAAGCACGAGAGCGUGGGUAGCGAACAGGAUUAGAUACCCUUGUA
This 463-nucleotide ribosomal RNA is filed under the name uncultured bacterium. RNAcentral's name for it is "partial 16S ribosomal RNA". It matches the Rfam family "Bacterial small subunit ribosomal RNA", at positions 330 to 792 of the family's 1533-position model. The record is from RNAcentral.